CGAAUACCCCUCCACGUGCGAUCUCACGCGAAACGGUAUAUAAAAUAUCGCGACUUUUGCGAAAAUACCGUUUUGCCACUACCGACCUCUCCUCGAUCAACGCGUGAUCUCCGCAGAUCCGUCCGUCAGAUUUGGGAACGGAUCGCACCAGUACGAUCAGUACGAGGGAGACAACAAAGCUACGAUUUUGUUUCGUCUCGAUCGACCACGGAUUCACGACAAAAUCCAACCUUCCUUUCAACAGAAGAAAACACACCUAAAUACAUAUAGAAUAUGUAUUUUUGGAUUUUCUCGAAAUUCGUGCGUCGAACUCAAAAUCCGUCAGCGCCAUUAGUUCCAGAACAGCUGAACCGGUCGAAACGAGCUAUUGGACCGCUAGGAACGGAGUCCGAUACGAGCCUGAAGCCAACUUCACACCGUGGCUUCUCCGGAAAAUCGAGUUACUAUUCACUUUAAGUGAAACUUGGAAAUCGCGUAGAAUUUCCGUUUUAACUCGUUUUCGCCCGAAACUUGACGAGUGCUUUUGUAAUUAAAUUACACACAAAAACAUCGUCAACUAAGAGUUUAGCUACACUGCAAAAAUCUCAGUCCUUAUAACAAGGUUAGGGUUUCCUCCAUGAAACCCGAAAUGACACAAAACGAUAUAUAAAAUGUCGAGCUUUUCGCAAAAUUACCGUUUUGCCAUUAAUAGCCCCUUCUCGAUCAACGCGCGAUAUCAAGAGAUCCGUCUGUCAGAUUUGCGAACGGAUCGUACCAGUAUGAUCAGCACAACAGAGACAACCAGUCCAUAAUUUUGUUUCACCCGAUUUGGUUGUGGAUUCGCGACGAAACCCAUUCUCUCUCCGAAAUGCAAAACCACGCACAAAUACAUUAAAUACAUGUAUUUUCAGUUUUCUCAAAAUCCGUGCUUCAAACCUGAAAUCUGUCGGCGCCAUUUGCUCCAGAAUAACCAAACCACUGAAAACGAGCUAUUGGAACACUGUGAACGGAGUUUAAUACGCAUCAGAAGCCAUCUCUAUUGAUUAGCCUAUCCGAAAAACCGAAGUUACUAUUCACUUUAAGUGAUUAGUAACGAUCGCGUAACUUCUCUAUUCUAACUCAUUUUUUGCUGAAACUUGACGAGUACUUAUGUAAAUAAAUUACAUACAAAAAUAUCAUCAACAAAGAGUUUAGUUACAUUGCAAAAUCUGUCCUUACACAUACAGAAUUAUGCUAUUAUACUAUCAAUAGUACCAAACCCUUGGUACUAUUAAGUUUUCGGCCGUUGGAUGAAAAGAUGUGCGGUUAGGAUGAUAGCGGUUCCCGGUUAAAUUGAUAGUGGUCCCCUAGGGUUGAGUGGGUGGUUGGUUUAAUAGUAUAAUCUAACGGGUGAAAAUGAUCAAAGGGUAGAUCUAACGGUAGAAAACUCAAUAAUAUUAAGGGCUUGGUACUAUCGAUAGCAUAGUAGCCAAACUAUACAUAUAUAUAUAUAUAUAUAUAUAUAUAUAAAAGCGUACAGGAAUUCCGACAAUGACAGACGGAAUCCAAAAAAGAAUAAAAGAAUAUUUCCUAUAUUUCUUACGAACGGAUAUAAUCACUUAAUUAAAAAAAUCUUAAAUAAGAACGAACGGUUUAUAAACGGAUAUGAUCACUUAAUAAAAAAAAUCACAAAUAAGAACAAACGGUUAUGAUUAAUCUGUUAAAAAAUAGCAUUCUUAUUCAUUUAUAAAUUCAAUUCUACGAACGGUUGUGUUAAUUAAAAAUAAAUGGUUUACUUAAUUAAAAAAAUCUCAAAUAAGAACGAAUUAAUCUGUUAAA
Molecule: long non-coding RNA, 1797 nt
Filed under: Ananas comosus (pineapple)
Lineage: Eukaryota; Viridiplantae; Streptophyta; Magnoliopsida; Poales; Bromeliaceae
Description: long non-coding RNA (ACOM_LNC037049)
Source: RNAcentral